CAACUUCUCUGCCUCGCCAUCGGGGAUCUCAAAACCUGAACACGUGAGAAAACACUGUAUCAGCUUGUGAUCCUCUAUCAAACUGGAUUACCUGUGCAAAUGUCCAGGUGUGUAAAAGACUCCACGUUUGAACUCCCUUCAUCUGAGCCCAAAGACAAACGCUCCAUUCUCCUGCCACACAAAUGCACCAGUCCUCCGACAGCCAUCGCACCAAACACAAGUCCAACACGCAUCCGCCCUCCAGUGCCUGAACACAAAGACAAGGCAUUAGACAAUCGAGACUGCAGAACAGCCAGCUCCGUCAGAGAAUGAUGUGGCAGUUGGGGUUUCCUCACGCAAUGCCCGAUUGUUGGAUUCUUCAGUGUUACGU
Pimephales promelas (fathead minnow) is the source of this 370-nucleotide non-coding RNA. The record is from RefSeq and is a predicted model, not a curated record. Lineage: Eukaryota; Metazoa; Chordata; Actinopteri; Cypriniformes; Leuciscidae.